AGAGUCAAACAGUACGUGAAAUUGUUGAAAGGGAAACGUUUGAAAUCAGUCGUGCGGGCGAGUGAUCAGCUUGGCCUCGGCCUUGUGUACUUGCUCGUUCCGCAGGUCAGCGUCAGUUCCGGUCGCCGGAUAAAAUCCUGGGGGAAUGUGGCCGCCUCGGCGGUGUUAUAGACUCCGGACGAUACGGUGGCGGGGACUGAGGUCUGCAGCCGACGCUCGCGAGGGCGCUGGGGGUCCGCCGCUCUCGCCUGACCGGGUGCGCACAGCUCGCUGAGCGUGCUCGUUUUCUUUGGGCGGGACACGGUGGGGUUCCACCACAACUCAUCGGCUUGGGACGCUGGCUUAAUGGUUUUAAAUGACC
This 361-nucleotide ribosomal RNA is filed under the name uncultured fungus. RNAcentral's name for it is "eukaryotic LSU rRNA". Lineage: Eukaryota; Fungi. The record is from RNAcentral.